This 225-nucleotide unclassified non-coding RNA is filed under the name rhizosphere metagenome. RNAcentral's name for it is "partial ribosomal RNA internal transcribed spacer region". The record is from RNAcentral.
GAAACUUCACGGGGGCGCGUGGUUCGGCCUGCACCGGCGGCGACGUCGUGCUGCGGUCGGCCGUGCGCCCUCUUCCAAACCCAAACACCUGUGAACCUUUGGGAUGGCGCGCUGUAGUGGCCCGCCGUCCCGUUUACAACCAACUCUGAUGUCUAUUUGAAUGUGAACUCGGGGCAUCCCCGAUUUAAACUUAAAACAACUUUCAACAACGGAUCUCUUGGCUCU